UUAUCCGGAUUUACUGGGUGUAAAGGGAGCGUAGACGGAGCAGCAAGUCUGAUGUGAAAGCCCGGGGCUCAACCCCGGGACUGCAUUGGAAACUGUUGAUCUGGAGUGCCGGAGAGGUAAGCGGAAUUCCUAGUGUAGCGGUGAAAUGCGUAGAUAUUAGGAGGAACACCAGUGGCGAAGGCGGCUUACUGGACGGUAACUGACGUUGAGGCUCGAAAGCGUGGGGAGCAAACAGGAUUACAUACCCUGGUAGUCCACGCCGUAAACGAUGACUACUAGGUGUCGGGUGGCAAAGCCAUUCGGUGCCGCAGCCAACGCAAUAAGUAGUCCACCUGGGGAGUACGUUCGC
This 349-nucleotide ribosomal RNA is filed under the name uncultured bacterium. RNAcentral's name for it is "bacterial SSU rRNA". It matches the Rfam family "Bacterial small subunit ribosomal RNA", at positions 541 to 889 of the family's 1533-position model. The record is from RNAcentral.